Molecule: long non-coding RNA, 1511 nt
Organism: Neopsephotus bourkii (Bourke's parrot)
Lineage: Eukaryota; Metazoa; Chordata; Aves; Psittaciformes; Psittacidae
Exons: 2
Source: RefSeq, a predicted model, not a curated record
GCUACAAGUGCCUCGUCUGCUUUCUCCUCCUGCAGUGUUGGGCUUACGCAGUGGGAGUACUGGAUUGCACUGAGGCUGUUGGUAAAGACUCCUCCCUCGGAAUCUCCUUCAUCACCAUGGCAACAGCCUUAUCUGCCGCCCUAGCGCCUUUCCCCUACAACAGCGAAAUCAACAAUGGCGCGAGUCAGCAGCGAGCCGGGCAACCAUCGCGUCCCAACGCACCCCAGAACCCACCAGGCGGCUGGAACUAGAGCGUGGUUGAAAGUAGAACACAUAAACACCCUUCGGAAAUGGUAACAGUGAUAAAUCAUCCGUGAACCUGGCAGUUAACAGCGUGGGAGGGGCCUAGCCAUGGUCUUGUGGCUGUGUCAGAGUUGCCCCAGUGAAGUCGCUAGGAACAGCAGUGCCAUGCUGGGGCUAGACCUGCUGGAAAUACUCCAGUGCCAGCCCAAGGGUUUGAAACUCCUACAGGGUAUGGUCUCCAUAUGAGAUCCAUACCAGUAUCAGUUACCUGAGGUAAUUUUAGUUACCCAAGCGUUUAUAUCUGAAAUACCUGGGUUUGUUUGGUUUUUAUUUAUUUAGUUUUUUUAUUUUUCUGUGAAAACCAGCAUUGAGCUGAAUUUGCAAAUAAAGCACAGUUCCUUGUAGUUCACUGAGGCAAACUCUCCAUGAACCUCAAAUGUAUAAAUCUGGGCCUGCAGAGGUUAUAGCUCUAGUAACAUCUUAAAAAGUAAUUUACAUCAUAUAAACAGUCUGGGGUUUAUUUUUGCUAUCAACAUAUGGAGCCAAAUUCUGCCAUCAUAGCCAUUGUCACAGUUCUCCCCAAAAUGGUCAAUGGUGUUGAACUUAAUGUAAGGAUUUUUUUUAAUUAUUUUUUUUAAACUUCACUUCAAAUUCACUUAAUACAUUGUAAAUAUUCAAGACAAAAUAUUUCAACAUUAUUUAAUAUUUUAGCCAAAGAAAAAUGCAGUAACAUUGUGCCAUGCUCCCUUUGAAGCUAUAAUUUUUAUAUAAAAAGGGUAUUUAUCUUAUUGAUUUCACUGAAAUUUCUGUAUUUUGAGCUCUUGCAAGUGACAGAGAUAGUCUGAGCAUGCACAAAAAGCAUAGCAGCAGAACUGUAUUAUGUUACUGACCCUGGGCAUGUCCUUAACUAUUAUACUAUAUAAGCUCACAUUAAUUUCCACGGAAGUUUUAGCUGUGCGAAGACUGCAGGAUCUGGCUCCAUAAAAGCAACAUUUUCCACUAAACUUUAUAUAUUUAAAUACUUUAUAAGUCCAUUAACAGAAGGGGUUCUUUGCUACCACAUCAUAUACUAGAACUACUUUCACUGUCAUGGUAUUCUGUGUCCAGUGGAAGUAUCCCCUAUUGCUUGCACUGAACUACAGGUUGUUUCAGAAACAUUUAAUCAGUUGCAGGUAAAACCAUUACAUACUAUUGUGGGUUUUGAGGAAAUUUUAUUAAUAAUCAAGUUAAUCUUAAGUUAGCUUGCUUGUGCAACACAUCACAGUUAC